This 1472-nucleotide unclassified non-coding RNA is filed under the name Drosophila virilis. RNAcentral describes it as "GJ18893". The record is from RNAcentral. Lineage: Eukaryota; Metazoa; Arthropoda; Insecta; Diptera; Drosophilidae.
GCGAACAACAGACGUUUAGCCAUGACACAAACCCAGCAUACAACGCGCAGUUGCAGCAGCAGCAGCAGCGAUUUACAGCAUGCGCAGCAGCGACGUCGACGCCAAAUCCAGCCAAAGCAAUUUUCGGCACUGCUGCUGUUGCUGCUGUUCAGCUGCGGCGCAGCCGUUACGACUGCCGCCGCGACUGCGCAGUCGCGCAACUAUGCGCGGCCACAGCGUGCCAUAGACGACGCUGCCGCCGAAGUCGAGGCAGCGGAGGCGACAACCUGCUGCCAGGGCGCAGCAGCCGCAUCUGUUCAGCCUGUCACGCUCGCGCUGGAGUUGGGCAAAGUGACGGCAGACUUUGGUGAAGCAGAUGGCUCCGGCGAAUUCUCUAAGGAGAACUUCAAGCGCAGCGUGUCACCAGCUGCUGUGCGCAAUGCAACGCCCGCGAGCUGCUCGCCACAGCCCACCAUUGUGGAGCUGAAGCCACUGACGGAGCAGGCCGGCGAGCAGACGGCAUCGAAUGUCUACUAUACGCCGGCGUGCACGCGCAUCAAUCGAUGCAAUGGCUGCUGCGGCUCCACGCUGAUCGCAUGCCAGCCGACGCAGACGGAGACGCUGCGGCUGCGCGUCCGGAAGGUGGAGCGUUUUGGGGCCAGCAGCAAGCGUGAAUCUGCCAUUGUCAGUGUGGAGCAGCAUUUGGCCUGUAAAUGCGAUUGCCGCAUCAAGGCCGAGGACUGCAAUGCGUAUCAGGAGUAUCGCAAGGAUCUGUGCCGCUGCGAGUGCCAGAACACGGAUGCCCGCGACAAGUGCCUGGAGCAAUCGGAUCACAAAUACUGGGACGAUGCCAACUGCACCUGCGCCUGUCGCUACAAUCAAUCCUGCACCACCGGCACCGUCUUCGAUGAGACGCAAUGCAAAUGCACCGAUAUCAAAAGUCUCGAGUAUUAUUCCUAGAAUACACACAUUCUAUAACACACUGAAAACACAUAGAUCCUAUGCUCGUUGUUGUUGUUUGUUUGUUUGUUUCAAAUACGUGAUAAACAAAAAGAAAGGCAGCUUUAUUUGCAGAAGAAAUUCAAAAAUCAUACAUCACAGUCACAUGACCAUUAUCAAUCAAUCAAUCAAUCAAUCAAUACAGCAACAAACAGCACUUGAGAGAAAGAACAGAAUUGAUAAACAAAAAAAGAGAAGAAAUUUAAUUUUGAAAAAAAAAAAACAUUUUGCUUGAACCAAUUUGUGAUACGUUUGCAUUCGAAAAUUGAUUUAUGUAUAUGAAUAUUUGUUAAAUUAAAAAAUGUUAAAUGAUUAGGAAUUCGUUUAGAGAAUGUUUAAGGCAAAUGUAACUUAUAGCUGAGUUGAGGCCAAAACACACACAACGUUAUUUGUGUUGCAUUGUCCAUCGGCGCCCAGCGAUGUGGCGGACCGCAGACGCUUCAUAGUACAGGCCGUCGCCGUGGAGCCGGACAACAGCACCCUCUACAGCGUCU